GAUGAACGCUGGCGGCGUGCCUAAUACAUGCAAGUCGAGCGAACAGACGAGGAGCUUGCUCCUUUGACGUUAGCGGCGGACGGGUGAGUAACACGUGGAUAACCUACCUAUAAGACUGGGAUAACUUCGGGAAACCGGAGCUAAUACCGGAUAACAUGUUGAACCGCAUGGUUCAACAGUGGAAGACGGUCUUGCUGUCACUUAUAGAUGGAUCCGCGCCGCAUUAGCUAGUUGGUAAGGUAACGGCUUACCAAGGCAACGAUGCGUAGCCGACCUGAGAGGGUGAUCGGCCACACUGGAACUGAGACACGGUCCAGACUCCUACGGUAGGCAGCAGUAGGGAAUCUUCCGCAAUGGGCGAAAGCCUGACGGAGCAACGCCGCGUGAGUGAAGAAGGUCUUCGGAUCGUAAAACUCUGUUAUUAGGGAAGAACAAAUGUGUAAGUAACUAUGCACGUCUUGACGGUACCUAAUCAGAAAGCCACGGCUAACUACGUG
RNAcentral lists this ribosomal RNA (497 nucleotides) under uncultured bacterium. RNAcentral describes it as "partial 16S ribosomal RNA". It matches the Rfam family "Bacterial small subunit ribosomal RNA", at positions 28 to 507 of the family's 1533-position model. The record is from RNAcentral.